GACAGGGACAGGGACAGGGACAGGGACAGGACAGGGAUGGGACAGGGACAGUGACAGGGAUGGGAUCGGGACAGGGACAGGGAUGGGACAAGGGGUGGGACAGGGAUGGGACAGGGGGUGGCUUUGGCGGGGGUUGGAAACUUCUGGAACCCCUCAAGGGUCUCAUCCCGUCCCUACCACUCCCAAGAGAGGGCACAGAGAGGCUUCUGGGCUGUCCUGACACCUCUCGGGGGGUCUCACACACCCUCUGCCCACCCCCAGAUCCUGCUGAUCGCCUUCCUGAAGGUGAUCGACGAGGGCAGCCACAUGGUGAUGCUGGAGUGCCCGGACACGGUGAACACGCUGCUGCACGAGUUCGUCCUCUGGGAGCCCGACACGCCCGCGGCCCGCGGCGACGGCGACACCAAAUGAGGGCCAGCGGCAGGCGGGGACACCGGGGCCGCUCCCCGGAGCGCCGAGAGGGCUCCACGAGCCCGCUUUGUUUCCCUGGGCACGGAGCGAGGAGGCUCCCCCAGGUUGGGACGCGCAGCGCCGGGAGAAGGAGCGAGGAGAGGCGGCGGAGGCGGUCCCCAAGCCUGGGGACAGCGGGGGGACACUGUCCCCGAGCCCGGACGUGGCACAGCUGUGUCCCCAAGCCUCGGGGAGGGGAGGGGACAGCGGGGACACGGCACAGUUGGUCCCCGAGCCCGGACAUGGCACAGCUGCUCCUCAAGGCUGGUGGUGUCACAUCUGGUCCCCAAGGCCGGGGGACAGCGGGGAUGUGCCACACCCGGUCCCCGGCCACGCCACAUCUUGUCCCCAACCCCAGCCGCGUCACGUCUUGUCCCCAACCCCAGCAGGACAGCGGGGAUGUGCCACACCCGGUCCCCGGCCACCCCCGGCCGUGUCACAUCUUGUCCCCAACCCCGGCCACACCUUGUCCCCAACCCCAGCCACGUCACAUCUUGUCCCCGGCCACCCCCGGCCGUGUCACACCUGGACCUUGGCCACCCCCGGCCACGUCACAUCUUGUCCCCAACCCCGGACACGCCACCUCUUGUCCCCAAUCCCGGCGGGACAUCGGGGACACGCCACACCCGGUCCCCGGCCACCCCCGGCCGUGUCACCUCUUGUCCCCACCCCCGGGGGGACAUUGGGGACACGCCACACGUUGUCCCCAUCCCCUGGACGCGCCACCCCCGCGGCUCCAUCCCGGUUUGUUUUUGUCGCCGUCGUUGUCACCCCCGCCCGCAGCGACAGCCCCGGGGAGCCCGGGAGGAGCUGGCGACACCCCCGGGAAUUUGGGGGCGGAUUUCAGGAGAAUCCAGAAGUUUCUCCGCGUUGGGAUUUCCCUGGAUUCGGUGGGGGGGGCUCCUUGUGGGGUUCGGCAGCUCCUGCUGGGAUGAGGAUGAGGAUGAGGAGGAUUCCCGGGAUGUCCCCGCCUGUCCCCGCUGCCACCAGCGCUUUUAUGGCA
Molecule: long non-coding RNA, 1453 nt
Filed under: Parus major (Great Tit)
Lineage: Eukaryota; Metazoa; Chordata; Aves; Passeriformes; Paridae
Description: lncRNA (ENSPMJG00000002031.1)
Source: RNAcentral